GCCUUGUUAGCUCAGUCGGUAGAGCAUCAGACUUUUAAUCUGAGGGUCGUGGGUUCGAGCCCCACAUAGGGCG
Molecule: transfer RNA, 73 nt
Filed under: Pseudoloma neurophilia
Lineage: Eukaryota; Fungi; Microsporidia
Rfam family: tRNA
About the family: Transfer RNA (tRNA) molecules are approximately 80 nucleotides in length. Their secondary structure includes four short double-helical elements and three loops (D, anti-codon, and T loops). Further hydrogen bonds mediate the characteristic L-shaped molecular structure. tRNAs have two regions of fundamental functional importance: the anti-codon, which is responsible for specific mRNA codon recognition, and the 3' end, to which the tRNAs corresponding amino acid is attached (by aminoacyl-tRNA synthetases). tRNAs cope with the degeneracy of the genetic code in two manners: having more than one tRNA (with a specific anti-codon) for a particular amino acid; and 'wobble' base-pairing, i.e. permitting non-standard base-pairing at the 3rd anti-codon position.
Source: Rfam by way of RNAcentral